AUACGUAUGUCGCAAGCGUUAUCCGGAUUUAUUGGGCGUAAAGCGCGUCUAGGCGGUUUAGUAAGUCUGAUGUGAAAAUGCGGGGCUCAACCCCGUAUUGCGUUGGAAACUGCUAAACUAGAGUACUGGAGAGGUAGGCGGAACUACAAGUGUAGAGGGGAAAUUCGUAGAUAUUUGUAGGAAUGCCGAUGGGGAAGCCAGCCUACUGGACAGAUACUGACGCUAAAGUGCGAAAGCGUGGGUAGCAAACAGGAUUAGAUACCCUGGUAGUCCACGCCGUAAACGAUGAUUACUAGGUGUUGGGGGUCGAACCUCAGCGCCCAAGCUAACGCGAUAAGUAAUCCACCUGGGGAGUACGACCGCAAGGUUGAAACUUAAAGGAAUUGACGGGG
RNAcentral lists this ribosomal RNA (392 nucleotides) under uncultured bacterium. Its description in RNAcentral is "partial 16S ribosomal RNA". It matches the Rfam family "Bacterial small subunit ribosomal RNA", at positions 523 to 918 of the family's 1533-position model. The record is from RNAcentral.